GGAAAUGUGGCUUAGUGGUAGAGUAUUUGCCUAGCAUGCAUGAAGCCCUAGGUUCGAUUCCUCAGUCCCC
RNAcentral lists this transfer RNA (70 nucleotides) under Dipodomys ordii (Ord's kangaroo rat). It matches the Rfam family "tRNA". From Rfam's summary of the family: Transfer RNA (tRNA) molecules are approximately 80 nucleotides in length. Their secondary structure includes four short double-helical elements and three loops (D, anti-codon, and T loops). Lineage: Eukaryota; Metazoa; Chordata; Mammalia; Rodentia; Heteromyidae. The record is from Rfam by way of RNAcentral.